AGCGGCAGGCCUAAUACAUGCAAGUCGAGGGGUAACAGGAAGUGCUUGCACUUCGCUGACGACCGGCGCACGGGUGAGUAUCGCGUAUACAAUCUGCCUCAUACUAGGGAAUAGCCCGAAGAAAUUUGGAUUAAUGCCCUAUAGUAUCUUUUUAAGGCAUCUUAUUAAGAUUAAAGGUCACGGUAUGAGAUGAGUAUGCGUUCUAUUAGCUAGUAGGUGUGGUAACGGCACACCUAGGCUACGAUAGAUAGGGGCCCUGAGAGGGGGAUCCCCCACACUGGUACUGAGACACGGACCAGACUCCUACGGGAGGCAGCAGUAAGGAAUAUUGGUCAAUGGACGAAAGUCUGAACCAGCCAUGCCGCGUGCAGGAUGACUGCCCUAUGGGUUGUAAACUGCUUUUAUAUAGGAAGAAAAACUUUCUCGUGAGAAAGCUUGACGGUACUAUAAGAAUAAGGAUCGGCUAACUCCGUGCCAGCAGCCGCGGUAAUACGGAGGAUCCAAGCGUUAUCCGGAAUCAUUGGGUUUAAAGGGUCCGUAGGUGGACAAAUAAGUCAGAGGUGAAAUCCUGCAGCUCAACUGUAGAACUGCCUUUGAUACUGUUUGUCUUGAGUUAUUAUGAAGUGGUUAGAAUGUGUAGUGUAGCGGUGAAAUGCAUAGAUAUUACACAGAAUACCGAUUGCGAAGGCAGAUCACUAAUAAUUAACUGACACUGAUGGACGAAAGCGUGGGUAGCGAACAGGAUUAGAUACCCUGGUAGUCCACGCCGUAAACGAUGGUCACUAGCUGUUUGGACUUCGGUCUGAGUGGCUAAGCGAAAGUGAUAAGUGACCCACCUGGGGAGUACGU
RNAcentral lists this ribosomal RNA (849 nucleotides) under uncultured Flavobacteriaceae bacterium. RNAcentral's name for it is "bacterial SSU rRNA". It matches the Rfam family "Bacterial small subunit ribosomal RNA", at positions 38 to 885 of the family's 1533-position model. The record is from RNAcentral. Lineage: Bacteria; Pseudomonadati; Bacteroidota; Flavobacteriia; Flavobacteriales; Flavobacteriaceae.